RNAcentral lists this long non-coding RNA (973 nucleotides) under Anas platyrhynchos platyrhynchos (common mallard). Its description in RNAcentral is "lncRNA (ENSAPLG00000017961.1)". The record is from RNAcentral. Lineage: Eukaryota; Metazoa; Chordata; Aves; Anseriformes; Anatidae.
UGUGCAAGUGGUACAACAGAUAAGUAGGAUUCUAAAGAUAUUCUAAAGACAACUGCAUACUCUUUAUAGACCGCAGGCAAGUGGACAGGUAGAAAAAAUGAAACAUUUAAUUAAACAACAAAUAGCUAAAAUCGGACAAGAAUCUAAUUUGUCAUGACCUCAAUCCCUCCCUUUAACAUUACUUAGAAUUUGAGUUAAACCUAGAAUAAAAAGGGAAUUUGAGUCCCUUUGAAAUCUUAUAUGGAAGGCGGUAUCCAUUUCUAUUUAGUGGAGAGGAUCGAACGCAGUUAGGAUUAGAAUAUAUAUAUAUAUAUAUAUUCAGUUAUAUAUAUAUGCAUAUAUAACUGAACUUCAGAAAUAAUUAAAUAAAGUACAUAAAUUUGUUCUCAGGGAUUAUAUAUAUAAAGACUUUUUCAGGACAACCCCUAGAGGAAAAACGGAAGGAAAGUGGACGGGACCAUACCAGGUAUUACUGACAACACACACCGCCAUUAAGAUUAAGGAGCAAGCAGCUUGGAUCCACGAUUCAAGGGUGAAGAGGGCCCUGGCGAGGAUAUGGACCACCACUCCAAUUGGACCAAAAAAAUUAUGGUUUUCCAGAUCCUAAUGAUUGCAGGGGUGUGGUUCUCAGAUUCGGGGUGGGCAGUUUGGGAUGAGAACUUACACCUGUCCCUGAUACAAAAGGGUGUAUUGUUAAUCAGGAUUCCCUUGCCUGCAAACUUACCUUGGACUAAUUCGUGGGAAAACACAUCUUGGGUCAAAAAAAAAUAUGAAGAAGUUUUGGAACUAGAAGUUAGUAGCUUUGUGCCAUUGGAAUCUUACUAUGUAUGUGUACAAAGGUGUAACCCGCCUAAGGGUAUGGGAAAACAGGAUUGUAUAAAUACAGGUACUACUUAUGUGGGAAAUCAGACAUCUUGUAAUCAAACAAUUGAUAUUAGUACAACUAGCAGUUGGGCAAAUUCAACCAGCUGGC